UUGGGAUAACUUCAGGAAGCUGGGGCUAAUACCGGAUAGGAGCUCCUGCUGCAUGGUGGGGGUUGGAAAGUUUCGGCGGUUGGGGAUGGACUCGCGGCUUAUCAGCUUGUUGGUGGGGUAGUGGCUUACCAAGGCUUUGACGGGUAGCCGGCCUGAGAGGGUGACCGGCCACAUUGGGACUGAGAUACGGCCCAG
RNAcentral lists this ribosomal RNA (195 nucleotides) under uncultured Actinomycetales bacterium. RNAcentral's name for it is "partial 16S ribosomal RNA". It matches the Rfam family "Bacterial small subunit ribosomal RNA", at positions 138 to 334 of the family's 1533-position model. The record is from RNAcentral. Lineage: Bacteria; Bacillati; Actinomycetota; Actinomycetes; Actinomycetales.